RNAcentral lists this ribosomal RNA (116 nucleotides) under uncultured bacterium. RNAcentral's name for it is "partial 16S ribosomal RNA". It matches the Rfam family "Bacterial small subunit ribosomal RNA", at positions 1358 to 1482 of the family's 1533-position model. The record is from RNAcentral.
UGCGGUGAAUACGUUCCCGGGCCUUGUACACACCGCCCGUUAAGCCAUGGAAGUUGGGUGAACCUAAAGUCGAUAACCGCAAGGAGUCGCCUAGGGUUAAACCAGUAACUAGGGCU